CCUCAACCUUUCUAUUUGUUUUGUGACUUAGAGUGUGUUAGGUAAGGUAAUGAGUCUCUGGUUUGUAAUUUAUAACCAAAAUCUAGCUAAACAUCCAGUCUUAGACCUUGGAUGCAGUGUGCAUGACAUUUUCAGAGGUUACAGGUGUGUGCCACGGAGUAAGAACAGCAGUCCCUUCUGGAAAUGGCUUGGGAAUACCUCCUUGUAUGGAGGAAGCAGGAGCAUUUGUGAGAUUUUGAAGACAGAAGAGUGAAAGAUGAGGUGCUAAAUCUGAGACUGUGGCUGUUAAAAUGAGCUGCUGAACACUAGAGAGCAAGGAUUACUGCAUUGCCUAACAGACUGCUGCAGAACCUCUGAGCCUUUUAUUUCCAGUAAUAAAAAAGAAAUCCAUGUGUGUCUCAACA
Neopelma chrysocephalum (saffron-crested tyrant-manakin) is the source of this 404-nucleotide long non-coding RNA. RefSeq lists it as uncharacterized. NCBI's taxonomy places the organism in Eukaryota, Metazoa, Chordata, Aves, Passeriformes, Pipridae. The transcript has 2 exons. The record is from RefSeq and is a predicted model, not a curated record.